GAUGAACGCUGGCGGCGUGCCUAAUACAUGCAAGUCGAGCGAACAGACGAGGAGCUUUCUCCUCUGACGUUAGCGGCGGACGGGUGAGUAACACGUGGAUAACCUACCUAUAAGACUGGUAUAACUUCGGGAAACCGGAGCUAAUACCGGAUAAUAUAUUGAACCGCAUGGUUCAAUAGUGAAAGACGGUUUUGCUGUCACUUAUAGAUGGAUCCGCGCCGCAUUAGCUAGUUGGUAAGGUAACGGCUUACCAAGGCAACGAUGCGUAGCCGACCUGAGAGGGUGAUCGGCCACACUGGAACUGAGACACGGUCCAGACUCCUACGGGAGGCAGCAGUAGGGAAUCUUCCGCAAUGGGCGAAAGCCUGACGGAGCAACGCCGCGUGAGUGAUGAAGGUCUUCGGAUCGUAAAACUCUGUUAUUAGGGAAGAACAAAUGUGUAAGUAACUAUGCACGUCUUGACGGUACCUAAUCAGAAAGCCACGGCUAACUACGUG
Molecule: ribosomal RNA, 497 nt
Filed under: uncultured bacterium
Lineage: Bacteria
Description: partial 16S ribosomal RNA
Rfam family: Bacterial small subunit ribosomal RNA
Source: RNAcentral